RNAcentral lists this ribosomal RNA (252 nucleotides) under uncultured microorganism. RNAcentral's name for it is "partial 16S ribosomal RNA". It matches the Rfam family "Bacterial small subunit ribosomal RNA", at positions 524 to 776 of the family's 1533-position model. The record is from RNAcentral.
UACGUAGGGUGCGAGCGUUAAUCGGAUUUACUGGGCGUAAAGCGAGCGCAGGUGGUUUAUUAAGUCUGGUGUAAAAGGCAGUGGCUCAACCAUUGUAUGCAUUGGAAACUGGUAGACUUGAGUGCAGUAGAGGAGAGUGGAAUUCCAUGUGUAGCGGUGAAAUGCGUAGAUAUAUGGAGGAACACCGGUGGCGAAAGCGGCUCUCUGGACUGUCACUGACACUGAGGCUCGAAAGCGUGGGUAGCAAACAGG